UUUAAGUGUAGCUAUAAGUUUUCGUGUCUGUGUUAUUUGAAAUUUUUUAUAAUUAGUAUUUUUAUCGUGAUUAGAUGAUAAAACAUGAAUAACACUUUAUGCAUGACUUAUAUUUUAUAAUUUUUUUAAUAAGAUGGAUGAUUAAAGUUGAACACGGAAAGUUAUGGUUAUGCCUAAA
This 178-nucleotide microRNA precursor is filed under the name Oryza punctata. Its description in RNAcentral is "MIR812 microRNA precursor family". It matches the Rfam family "MIR812 microRNA precursor family". The record is from Rfam by way of RNAcentral. Lineage: Eukaryota; Viridiplantae; Streptophyta; Magnoliopsida; Poales; Poaceae.